GUGCAGCAGUCGAGAAAACUUCACACUGUGCGAAAGCACGAUGAGGGAAUCCCAAGUGCUUGCACGUAAGUGUAAGCUGUUUCUCUGUCUAAAACGCAGAGAGAGUAAGGGCUGGGUAAGACGGGUGCCAGCCGCCGCGGUAAUACCUGCAGCUCAAGUGGUGACCGUUAUUAUUGGGCCUAAAACGUCCGUAGCCGGUUUAAUAAAUGCCUGGGUAAAUUGUGUAGCUUAACUAUACGAAUUCCGGGUAGACUGUUAAACUUGAGACCGGGAGAAGUUAGAGGUACUCCUGGGGUAGAGGUGAAAAUUCUGUAAUCCUAGGGGGACCACCAGUGGCGAAGGCGUCUAACUAGAACGGGUCUGACGGUGAGGGACGAAGCCCUGGGGCGC
RNAcentral lists this ribosomal RNA (390 nucleotides) under uncultured microorganism. RNAcentral's name for it is "bacterial SSU rRNA". It matches the Rfam family "Archaeal small subunit ribosomal RNA", at positions 330 to 720 of the family's 1478-position model. The record is from RNAcentral.